CUAUCAGCUUCUCAAAGUGCAUCGACUGAGGUAGGUGACACUAAUUCAGCAAGCCAAUUAAGUGAAAUGGAUAUUUGGGUGCAAUCUGUUGGUGGAAAGAAAAAAAGGAAGGGUUGCAGGCCUUGGCUCCUUGGGUCGAUCUGUAAAAGCGCAAGCCAAUUAAGUGAAAUGAAUAUUUGGGUGCAAUCUGUUGGUGGAAAGAAAAAAAGGAAGGGUUGCAGGCCUUGGCUCCUUGGGUCGAUCUGUAAAAGCACUUAAGCAUUCGACAUCUACUUUACCAAGAGAAAUUGAUGAGAUGAUUAAGUCUCAGGUGCAUGCUUCCAAUGCUAACUUAUAUGCUCAGUUGAAAAAAGAGCGGCGCAAAAACAAAAAGAUGAGGAAGGAACUAGACUUAUUGAAGAAAUAUGUGAAUUUCAAUGCAUCAUCUUCAAAUGAGUUAUCAUCUCAAGACAAAAAGAGCGGCGCAAAAACAAAAUGAUGAGGAAGGAAUUAGACUUAUUGAAGAAGUAUGUGAAUUUCAAUGCAUCAUGUUCAAAUGAGUUAUCAUCUCAAGAAGACAAUCAAGGAUCUGAGGAUGAAAGUGACAAUUACUUUGAUAAUGUGAAUGAAAUUGGUUCUGACCCUGAUAACGUGAAUGAAAGUGAUUAUAAUUAGGAUUGAGAUGUUCAUUAGACUAUUAAGUUUUAUAUUUGAGAUAUUUUGCUUUUUGAUGAAGGAUUAUAUGUUAUUAAUAUUAAUGUUAUGAAUUAUAUUUUGUCUUUGUUAUAAUUAUAUUAGAAGUCUGUGGAAUGUUGUUAUUAGUAUUAAUGUUAUGAAUUAUGCUUUUUCUUUGUUAUAAUUAUAUUAGAAGUGUGUGGAAGAAUGAUUACUUGCGAAUUUUU
This 881-nucleotide long non-coding RNA is filed under the name Nicotiana benthamiana. RNAcentral's name for it is "long non-coding RNA (NBEN_LNC026082)". The record is from RNAcentral. Lineage: Eukaryota; Viridiplantae; Streptophyta; Magnoliopsida; Solanales; Solanaceae.